CAGAGGAUGUCACAGCACAGGGGGUCUUAGUGCCUACAGAGGAUGUCACAGCACAGGAGGUCUCAGUGCCUACAGAGGAUGUCACAGCACAGGAGGUCUCAGUGCCUACAGAGGAUGUCACAGCACAGGAGGUCUCAGUGCCUACAGAGGAUGUCACAGCACAGGAGGUCUCAGUGCCUACAGAGGAUGUCACAGCACAGGAGGUCUCACAAUUUGAGAACGACUGGCCUAGCA
Long non-coding RNA from Apodemus sylvaticus (European woodmouse), 234 nucleotides. RefSeq lists it as uncharacterized. Lineage: Eukaryota; Metazoa; Chordata; Mammalia; Rodentia; Muridae. The record is from RefSeq and is a predicted model, not a curated record. The transcript has 3 exons.